This 320-nucleotide ribosomal RNA is filed under the name uncultured eukaryote. RNAcentral's name for it is "partial 18S ribosomal RNA". It matches the Rfam family "Eukaryotic small subunit ribosomal RNA", at positions 1470 to 1796 of the family's 1831-position model. The record is from RNAcentral.
CCCCUAGAUGUUCUGGGCCGCACGCGCGUUACACUGAACAGUUCAACAAGUCUUAACCUUGGCCGAUAGGUCUGGGUAAUCUUUGAACGCUGUUCGUGAUUGGGAUAGACCUUUGCAAUUAUGGGUCUUCAACGAGGAAUUCCUAGUAAACGCAAGUCAUCAGCUUGCAUUGAUUACGUCCCUGCCCUUUGUACACACCGCCCGUCGCACCUACCGAUUGAAUGGUCCGGUGAAAUCUCGGGACGGCGGCUUGGUCGCUUGCGUCCGACUGCUGAAACUUGAUUAAACCAUAUCAUUUAGAGGAAGGUGAANUCGUAACA